RNAcentral lists this ribosomal RNA (775 nucleotides) under uncultured Neocallimastigales. RNAcentral describes it as "partial large subunit ribosomal RNA". It matches the Rfam family "Eukaryotic large subunit ribosomal RNA", at positions 22 to 643 of the family's 3401-position model. Lineage: Eukaryota; Fungi; Neocallimastigomycota; Neocallimastigomycetes; Neocallimastigales. The record is from RNAcentral.
UGUGUAUCAGUACAUGGCAUAUCAUAAGCGGAGGAAAAGAAACUAACAAGGAUUCCCUUAGUAACGGCGAGUGAAGCGGGAAGAGCUCAAGUUUGAAAUCUUCAAGGUUUUACCUUGACGAAUUGUAGUUUAAAGAAGUGUUUUCUGUUGGAGUUUUGGUAAAAGUUCUUUGGAAUAGGACAUCAUAGAGGGUGAGAAUCCCGUAUUUGACCAUUACUUUCCAGCUGUGUGAUACACUUUCAAAGAGUCGGAUUGUUUGGGAAUGCAGUCCAAGAUGGGUGGUAAAUUUCAUCUAAAGCUAAAUAUUGGCGAGAGACCGAUAGCGAACAAGUACCGUGAGGGAAAGAUGAAAAGAACUUUGAAAAGAGAGUUAAACAGUACGUGAAAUUGUCAAAAGGGAAGCGUUUGACACCAGUGUUGUUUUUCCGAAAAUCAAUUACGAAUGUUUUGUUUUUGAGGAGUUAUGACUUCAUCGGCUUGCUCCUUUCUUUACGAAACUUUCUUAAUGCACUUUUCGGUUAACAAGUCAACAUCAAUUUCUUUUGUUGUAAAAGGGUAAUGAGGAAGGUGGCUUUACGUUUCGGAGAAAGUGUUUAUAGCCUUGUGCCUCUGCAAUCGGAGAGAUUGAGGUCUGCAGCGUAGAUCCUUCGGGGUUAGAUACGUUUGUGCUAAGUUAUAGCUUUUCAUAGACAACUUGUUGACUAUGUUUAGUCUUGUAGCUUACUCGCUUACGCUAUUUUACCUACGCUUAGGAUGUUGACAGCAGUAUAGACUG